CUGCAGCUUGUUUAGAAGGCGUGGGUCUUGGAUAUUAGCAGCAGCUCCGCUCCUUCUCAUCGCCUGAGUGCUCACCGGAGAAAAGAUGCUACAAGAACAGAAACCUACGCCGCUACUCCGGCCGCUAAUUAUCACUGUCCGCUCUCCAUCGAGUCAUACUCACACAAACYCAAGCUGAUCACUCCACCCUUCUCAAUAAGACGACCUGGUCCUCCGUUCCAGUAUUCUCCCCCUCUCCAUUUUCCCCUGACUUCAAUAAACCAUAAUUGUACUUUUA
Poecilia reticulata (guppy) is the source of this 277-nucleotide long non-coding RNA. RefSeq lists it as uncharacterized. The record is from RefSeq and is a predicted model, not a curated record. Lineage: Eukaryota; Metazoa; Chordata; Actinopteri; Cyprinodontiformes; Poeciliidae.